RNAcentral lists this ribosomal RNA (1521 nucleotides) under metagenome. Its description in RNAcentral is "bacterial SSU rRNA". It matches the Rfam family "Bacterial small subunit ribosomal RNA". The record is from RNAcentral.
AGAGUUUGAUCAUGGCUCAGAUUGAACGCUGGCGGCAGGCCUAACACAUGCAAGUCGAACGGUAACAGGAAGCAGCUUGCUGCUUCGCUGACGAGUGGCGGACGGGUGAGUAAUGUCUGGGAAGCUGCCUGAUGGAGGGGGAUAACUACUGGAAACGGUAGCUAAUACCGCAUAAUGUCGCAAGACCAAAGAGGGGGACCUUCGGGCCUCUUGCCAUCGGAUGUGCCCAGAUGGGAUCAGCUUGUUGGUGGGGUAACGGCUCACCAAGGCGACGAUCCCUAGCUGGUCUGAGAGGAUGACCAGCCACACUGGAACUGAGACACGGUCCAGACUCCUACGGGAGGCAGCAGUGGGGAAUAUUGCACAAUGGGCGCAAGCCUGAUGCAGCCAUGCCGCGUGUAUGAAGAAGGCCUUCGGGUUGUAAGUACUUUCAGCGGGGAGGAAGGGAGUAAAGUUAAUACCUUUGCUCAUUGACGUUACCCGCAGAAGAAGCACCGGCUAACUCCGUGCCAGCAGCCGCGGUAAUACGGAGGGUGCAAGCGUUAAUCGGAAUUACUGGGCGUAAAGCGCACGCAGGCGGUUUGUUAAGUCAGAUGUGAAAUCCCCGGGCUCAACCUGGGAACUGCAUCUGAUACUGGCAAGCUUGAGUCUCGUAGAGGGGGGUAGAAUUCCAGGUGUAGCGGUGAAAUGCGUAGAGAUCUGGAGGAAUACCGGUGGCGAAGGCGGCCCCCUGGACGAAGACUGACGCUCAGGUGCGAAAGCGUGGGGAGCAAACAGGAUUAGAUACCCUGGUAGUCCACGCCGUAAACGAUGUCGACUUGGAGGUUGUGCCCUUGAGGCGUGGCUUCCGGAGCUAACGCGUUAAGUCGACCGCCUGGGGAGUACGGCCGCAAGGUUAAAACUCAAAUGAAUUGGCGGGGGCCCGCACAAGCGGUGGAGCAUGUGGUUUAAUUCGAUGCAACGCGAAGAACCUUACCUGGUCUUGACAUCCACGGAAGUUUUCAGAGAUGAGAAUGUGCCUUCGGGAACCGUGAGACAGGUGCUGCAUGGCUGUCGUCAGCUCGUGUUGUGAAAUGUUGGGUUAAGUCCCGCAACGAGCGCAACCCUUAUCCUUUGUUGCCAGCGGUCCGGCCGGGAACUCAAAGGAGACUGCCAGUGAUAAACUGGAGGAAGGUGGGGAUGACGUCAAGUCAUCAUGGCCCUUACGACCAGGGCUACACACGUGCUACAAUGGCGCAUACAAAGAGAAGCGACCUCGCGAGAGCAAGCGGACCUCAUAAAGUGCGUCGUAGUCCGGAUUGGAGUCUGCAACUCGACUCCAUGAAGUCGGAAUCGCUAGUAAUCGUGGAUCAGAAUGCCACGGUGAAUACGUUCCCGGGCCUUGUACACACCGCCCGUCACACCAUGGGAGUGGGUUGCAAAAGAAGUAGGUAGCUUAACCUUCGGGAGGGCGCUUACCACUUUGUGAUUCAUGACUGGGGUGAAGUCGUAACAAGGUAACCGUAGGGGAACCUGCGGUUG